GAUGAACGCUGGCGGCGUGCCUAAUACAUGCAAGUCGAGCGAACAGACGAGGAGCUUGCUCCUCUGACGUUAGCGGCGGACGGGUGAGUAACACGUGGAUAACCUACCUAUAAGACUGGGAUAACUUCGGGAAACCGGAGCUAAUACCGGAUAAUAUAUUGAACCGCAUGGUUCAAUAGUGAAAGACGGUUUUGCUGUCACUUAUAGAUGGAUCCGCGCCGCAUUAGCUAGUUGGUAAGGUAACGGCUUACCACGGCAACGAUGCGUAGCCGACCUGAGAGGGUGAUCGGCCACACUGGAACUGAGACACGGUCCAGACUCCUACGGGAGGCAGCAGUAGGGAAUCUUCCGCAAUGGGCGAAAGCCUGACGGAGCAACGCCGCGUGAGUGAUGAAGGUCUUCGGAGCGUAAAACUCUGUUAUUAGGGAAGAACAAAUGUGUAAGUAACUAUGCACGUCUUGACGGUACCUAAUCAGAAAGCCACGGCUAACUACGUG
This 497-nucleotide ribosomal RNA is filed under the name uncultured bacterium. RNAcentral's name for it is "partial 16S ribosomal RNA". It matches the Rfam family "Bacterial small subunit ribosomal RNA", at positions 28 to 507 of the family's 1533-position model. The record is from RNAcentral.